UUGCAGUUAAAAAGCUCGUAGUUGGAUUUCUGUUUUGAAUGUCCGGUCGGUCAGUUUCUGAUGUGUACUUUGGAUAUUUGAAGCAUUUUUUGUGAGGGUCCUUGAACUGGCAUUAAGUUGUUGGUUUUGGAAGCUUGCAUCGUUUACUGUGAAAAAAUUAGAGUGUUUCAAGCAGGCGUUCGCUUUUGAAUACAUUAGCAUGGAAUAAUAAGAUACGACUAGCGUGGUCUAUUUUGUUGGUUUGCACACGCAAGUAAUGAUUAAUAGGGACAGUUGGGGGUAUUCAUAUUUGAGCGUCAGAGGUGAAAUUCUUGGAUCGCUGAAAGAUGAGCUUAGGCGAAAGCAUUUAUCAUGGAUGUUUUCAUUAAUCAGAACGAAAGUUAGGGGAUCGAAGAUGAUUA
This 401-nucleotide ribosomal RNA is filed under the name uncultured eukaryote. RNAcentral describes it as "SSU rRNA". It matches the Rfam family "Eukaryotic small subunit ribosomal RNA", at positions 613 to 1010 of the family's 1831-position model. The record is from RNAcentral.